This 629-nucleotide long non-coding RNA is filed under the name Mus pahari (shrew mouse). RNAcentral's name for it is "predicted gene, 37571 (MGP_PahariEiJ_G0003666.1)". Lineage: Eukaryota; Metazoa; Chordata; Mammalia; Rodentia; Muridae. The record is from RNAcentral.
UGGCUUGUGUAGAGGUCAGAAGACAACUUUGUGGAGUUGGUUCCCUCCUUCCACCUUUGCAUGGGUUUUUGAGAUCCAACUCAGGUCCCUAGGCUUUGUCAGCAAGUGCCUCUACCUGGAAAGCCAUUGGGAUGGGCCCUGGACCACUGUGCUGUCACUCCUAUGACAGUGAAACACAUGGGCUUCUGAAAUUGAGGUAUUUCAAUAAAUAAUGAUCUCAGUGAAGGAGAAAGAUAUAUUUAUAAAUCAGAAUCAUUGGACAAGAUUCUCAAACUGUUGAUGUGAGCCCCAAUUCUACUACUCUGUCUGUAGACAGGCACAUGAUGUACUCAAGAGAUGUAUUAACUUGGAUGAGUAGAAGGUAUAAAACAUGCUGUGUACUGUGAAAAUGUCUCUGUGAAGGAUCAGAUGUAAGUAGCUCAGGUUCUGUGGGCCGCAUGGUCUUUGCCAUCUACCUGCUAUCUACUAACUGUAGCAGGUAGAUGGCUGCAGCAGAAGAGCAGUAAGCACAAGGCCGUCUGCCUGUGGUCCAACAGCACUUGACUGGUAAAGGCUAUGGCUAGAUAAAGCCCAUGGCUUCUAGUUUGCCAGCCUCUGACCACACAUAACAUAGCUUAUAGAUAAAUUGA